Molecule: long non-coding RNA, 547 nt
Filed under: Physcomitrium patens
Lineage: Eukaryota; Viridiplantae; Streptophyta; Bryopsida; Funariales; Funariaceae
Description: long non-coding RNA (PPAT_LNC001686)
Source: RNAcentral
CUCACCUUUACCAGAAUCAUGUGUAGCUAGAAUUGUUGAACAGUGGGCUCAGUUCAGGACCAAUUUUGUUGUUCAGGUCAGUACUUGUGUCCCCUCUCCUGUUGAUACCGUUGGACAAAAAUCACAUUUGCAAGCGCCGUCUCAACAGUUUAUCUUCCCUGUACUCGAAUAUGAAAUUCUAAAGUUCCCAAUCCUGCGUUCAAAUUCAGACGCCAUUUGCUGGCAGCUCGAGUACCACCGCAGCCGCUCGGCGAAGUUCCUACUGGAUUUGAGUUGCUGUCUGCGAAGCCUGAGGAGCAAGAGUCCGUGGCAGAUUCUGAAGUAGAUGAAAAAAAGCCCUGCAAGAAAGUGGAGUUUAUACUCUCCGAAAAAGAUAUAAAGCAACUUAAGAAACAAGCUUCAGGCGCAUUUACCUCUGGCGAGUGCAUUUCAGCUCAUCUGUGGAAGCUCGUCACCAAAGCCAGAGGAUUGAGCAGGGAAGACACCACCACCAUUUUCACCGUUGUCGAUGCAAGAAAGAGGAUAAAAGAUUUUCCUUUGAACUACU